This is a long non-coding RNA of Vidua macroura (Pin-tailed whydah), 1089 nucleotides long. RefSeq lists it as uncharacterized. The transcript is spliced from 9 exons. The record is from RefSeq and is a predicted model, not a curated record. Lineage: Eukaryota; Metazoa; Chordata; Aves; Passeriformes; Viduidae.
GCAGCUGCUGACAUUGAUGUGCUGUGCUGUGCUGAGCUGUGCAGUGUUUGCUUCCAGUGAGUGCUCCUGUUGUCUCCUUGGAGUUGCUGCUCCAUCCUGACCAGAUGUUACUGAGACACCAUUGAUGCUGUUCUGCAGGACCUUCUCAGGACUCUGGCACAGCAGGAAAAAAAUCUGUAACCACUGUCUUCUGGAGGUGUGGUCAUAUUUGUAGAGACAGACUUCUGUUUCUCAUUCAGUGCUCAAUCUUGCACAAGCAGCAAGGGGGUAGGAGAAAGAGGGAAAUUUGCCAUAGUCUACAGUGCAUCUCCAGUAAAUGGCCAACACUACCCAUGUAUAAACUUUCAGUAUGAUCCUGCAGAGAAUAACUGAUGGAGUGAGCUUUGUGCCUACCUUGGCUGUACUGCUCCAGAGGGACACAAUGAUAUUCAUGGGAAACAGUCCUGUGUCCAGAACUUGGCCAGAAACAUCUAUUCAGGCCCUGAAAUGUCGGUGUAUUCCCACAGGAAACAGAGGAGCCUACAGAACAACAGGGAAAUUGCUAAUCAUACCUCAUCUAAGUCAAGUCUGGCUGUAAAUUAUGACUAAGCACCAGGUACUCUUACUGCUCUCUGUAAACUGGAGGUAACUGCACAAGAAAAAUGGAGGUUAUACUUUUUGAAUGGAGAUUAAGAAUAACAACACUUUGCAGUGUUGGAGCAGUCAGAGUUGAGUUUGUGCUUCAGUUAAAUCAAUGGAUUAUGCUGAAGAAUCCUGUGAGUAAAGUUGAUGAGGAGAUCGAGAACCACUGGAAAAAUUUUUGUGAAUGUCUGGGUAACAUCUCACAAGGCUGUGAUAACUCAAACUGCUUCUUCAGGAGCUUUGAACCAUAUGGGAGCCAUGUGUAUGAAAUACAAAAUAAAUGUGUUUCCCAUGAAGACAACAGAGUUAGUGUGGAAAAUGGAAGAGUUCUGGUGUUCAAGGAUUCAUGUCAGGUUUAUCUGUAAUCAGCAGACUAGAAGCAGAGUGCACAAGUGAUUUUCCCUACACUACUUAUGAAGGAUUUCUGAGAACACAGUAGUGCUUCUGACCUAGUGAAACUCCUGGUAU